GACGUAGGGCGCGAGCGUUGUCCGGAUUUAUUGGGCGUAAAGAGCUCGUAGGCGGCUUGUCGCGUCGACUGUGAAAUCCCGCGGCUCAACUGCGGGUCUGCAGUCGAUACGGGCAGGCUAGAGUGUGGUAGGGGAGAUCGGAAUUCCUGGUGUAGCGGUGAAAUGCGCAGAUAUCAGGAGGAACACCGGUGGCGAAGGCGGAUCUCUGGGCCAUUACUGACGCUGAGGAGCGAAAGCGUGGGGAGCGAACAGG
This 253-nucleotide ribosomal RNA is filed under the name uncultured bacterium. RNAcentral describes it as "partial 16S ribosomal RNA". It matches the Rfam family "Bacterial small subunit ribosomal RNA", at positions 524 to 776 of the family's 1533-position model. The record is from RNAcentral.